This is a non-coding RNA of Nicotiana tabacum (common tobacco), 2988 nucleotides long. NCBI's taxonomy places the organism in Eukaryota, Viridiplantae, Streptophyta, Magnoliopsida, Solanales, Solanaceae. The record is from RefSeq and is a predicted model, not a curated record.
UUCAAAAAUACAAAGACAUAAUAUAUAAGAAAGAGGAGCCUGCUGACCUCAAAGCCUUCACUAUUUAGUGGCAGACUAUUACUGUUCCUUUUGAUUAAAUAAAUUUCUUUCGGAAUUUGUUGACAAUGCUUUUUCUCAGUAGAAGCCUUUGUCUCCUCAUCUUCUCUUAAGUUUUGUUUGAUUCCUCAAGUAAUAACGUCGAAGACAUGCCACGUCUUCUCAACUCUUUCAUACACAAUAAAUCUUUAGGUUAUUCACCUAUGAGCACCAACGGGUUGACAUUGGAUUACACUUACAAAUGUUCUGUAGCGAAAAGCCAGAGCUGCUGGAAAUUUUAAUGACUUGAAAUUCGAAUUUGUAUACAUAUUUAAAGGGAUUCAAGCUUAAGAUAUGUAGGGACUUUCCAACAUAAGCUGAAUUUCUCAACCACUUUUUGAUCAACGGAUGACAACCACCUGAUACACCGUCCAAUAUUAAUUCAUCGUUUGAAGUUUUCCUUCUUCCACUAAGCAACUGGUACAUAAAUAGUCGAAGAUACAAAUAUUUGUCUGACUUUUUUCUCGUGAUAUCUUUUUUUGAUAAGGUUUCGAGAUUGUUACUGGCAUCAUUCUCCUUCACUUUCUUAUCUUUAUCAUCAAAGUAUUGUUCUUACCAGGUACCCAAACACUUGAGCCUAAGCCGAUUUCUGAUUUGUGAUGUCCAACUAUGACUGUUUGUGAUUUGUAGAGAGAAUGUUUUUUGUGUUUGCUAUGUUGUGAUUUGUGAUUUUUGAAUGCUGUUAAAUUGGCGGGCAACUGAUUGAAUUGAUUCCUCUAUUUUCCCUAAUGUUAUAUGUUUAUUGUCGAUUGUUAUAAGCUAUUCAUAGCAGACUAUACAUAAAGAAAAUCUUGUUAAUUUAAGUGUAAAGUAAUUCUAUUUGAAUUGUCGCUUUAGGUGGAUGUGAACUAUUCAGUUCGAUAGCUUUCGAGAUCUCAUUGUGUUAAUGCUCCAUUGAUUCGACUAUGUUAAUUUUUUUUCCACAUAUAUUUGUUGUGUGACUUGGAUGUGUUUUAAAAAUGCUGUUAGUUUUUGUUUCGCCUUUUGCAAUUUAAAUAACGAAAGUGUUACUUAAUAGUUGAUAUGCUAGGAGAAUGUUUUUUAAGAUUUGCUACUUGUUAAGAAAAGAAAUGUUCAAUUUUAAAUCUAUUUGCUUAAAUAUUAAAUGGAUACAUGCUAAAUGCCUCUUCUUCUGCUAUUUUUGAUCCAUUCACUUACUCCUCCUUAGUGUUACAGCAUGGAAUCCUUUAUCUUUUAUAUUACUGAAGGCAGCAUGCUUUACUUUCAUUGAGCUGAGCCCUAGUUGUACAUCACGUUAGAAAUGAUGAACGAUUGACUUUCAUUUAGGAGUACAUGAAGUAGAAUUUCGUUAGACUACAUAUGCUGAUGUAAAUACUGUUAUUUAUUCUUGAAAAUAUGCAUAAUAGAAGUAGGAAAGUAAUUUAUCAUGGAUGUUGAGUUAGACAACACAAAUAUGUGACACCGCAUUUCUAGAAAAUGCAGGACACUGCAACGGCUGACAUGAAAAAUAUUUAGUAUUAUUAGAUAGUAUAAGAACAUCACCACCAAAAGUGAUAAUAAUGAUGAUGAUGAUAGUAAUAAUGAUAACAGAAUAUGACAAUUUUAAUCAAGCUUCUGAUUGCAAAGUAAAAAAGAGAAAAGUUACUAUCACAAAGGUCAUCUCUCGGGUUCUUAGAAGACACACCAAGGAAAACUAUGUCUGGUAACUAAGUUAAAUCAGUCAAUCAACUAUGUGUUAAUUCCAAAUUACUUUGGGUCGAGUAUACGAAUCUUUUACAUCAAUUUCAGUCUUUCACCGUAUUCGGGCUUAUUACACUCCAAUGUUGGUAAAUAGGUUGUCUUUUCAGGCAAAUUAGAAGUUCCCUAAAACUUGAGGUUUUCUAAAUCUCACUUAUCCCAAGCUUUUAGGAGAUGCAUCCUAAUUUUUCUUGGUAACAUAAAGAUUUAUUAAGUAUGAUACAAGUGGUAAACAAAAGUGGGCAACCUACACCAGAACAUGGUUCUUUACAGAAAUGCACCCAAUCAUCUAUACUAAAACAAAACUAUGCCCGAAAAGUUUAUAACAAAAACAAGAGAUUAGUCCUAAAAAUAUCAAGGAUGUACUGGAUCCGUCUUGCGUUUUUGUAAAUUUGGCAGCACUUCCUUUGUGCUGAAGUUUAUAACAUUUGUCCACCAGAAAAAUAUGAAGUUAUAUCUUAAAUCAAUAAAAGCUCUUAGUAGUCUUAUUCUUUUUGUUCUUACCAAUAAUUUGGAUUAUGAUCUCUAGCUAACAAUGCAUAUCCGUGAUGCUUAUUCGUGUUAAUUGCUCUUGAAUGAAUGGACUUCAUGAAAGAACACAGCAAACAACAAUAUAUUAAGAUGAAUUGCUUGCUUCUAUUUCACUUUUGGUGUAAAGAGGAGUUGGUAGAAGAAGUAGAAUUACUGUUAAACAUCAUAGAAUCCUUGUAAGAUGAACUUGGGAACAAAUCAGUGAUAUUGUUUUGCUGCUGAAGAACCUCUUUAUAAGAUGAUAAUAUCACUGAUUUGUUCCUUAUCAGAAUAUAUAAGAAAAUGAUUGUAAAGAAGAACAAUCAUUUUUUACAAUGAAAGGAAAAGAACAUCUUUUAGUCAUAUUAUGAUACCAUUUGAACCUUUGCACCAGCACUGCAUCUUUUAUAAAGUUAAAAAAUGGGUGACCACGCAUCUUCAUAAGCCAUAAAAGGAGGACAGUGAGAGAUCAAUAGAUUUACAAGCCUUUUUAUUCGCUCUCAAGUGGCAGAGGAAUAAAGGCUAUGGCGUGUCUUCUCUUGCUUUUGACGAUGAUGUAAAUAUUCAGACAUGAGGUGUUGCUCGCGGUGUUGACAUAAAGAAAAAGUUAUUCUCACGGUCAUACAGUCUAGUGUUUCGAUAAUUUAGCCCGUGGAAGAUUUUAAAAUGAUGAAAAGAUGCGAA